GACAGGGGGUGCGAGCGUUAAUCGGAGUGAUUGGGCGUAAAGGGCGUGUAGGUGGUUGACUGAGUUGAAUGUGAAAGCUCUGGGCUUAACCGGGAGAGGGCAUUCAAGACGGGUUGACUGGAGUGAGAGUGGGGGUGAUGGAAUUCUCGGUGGAGCGGUGAAAUGCGUAGAGAUCGGGAAGAACACCGGAGGCGAAGGCGAUCACCUGGUUCUCGACUGACACUGAGGCGCGAAGGCGUGGGGAGCAAACAGG
This 253-nucleotide ribosomal RNA is filed under the name uncultured bacterium. RNAcentral describes it as "partial 16S ribosomal RNA". It matches the Rfam family "Bacterial small subunit ribosomal RNA", at positions 524 to 776 of the family's 1533-position model. The record is from RNAcentral.